RNAcentral lists this transfer RNA (73 nucleotides) under Minisyncoccota bacterium. RNAcentral's name for it is "tRNA-Lys". It matches the Rfam family "tRNA". Rfam says of the family: Transfer RNA (tRNA) molecules are approximately 80 nucleotides in length. Their secondary structure includes four short double-helical elements and three loops (D, anti-codon, and T loops). Further hydrogen bonds mediate the characteristic L-shaped molecular structure. tRNAs have two regions of fundamental functional importance: the anti-codon, which is responsible for specific mRNA codon recognition, and the 3' end, to which the tRNAs corresponding amino acid is attached (by aminoacyl-tRNA synthetases). tRNAs cope with the degeneracy of the genetic code in two manners: having more than one tRNA (with a specific anti-codon) for a particular amino acid; and 'wobble' base-pairing, i.e. permitting non-standard base-pairing at the 3rd anti-codon position. Lineage: Bacteria; Bacillati; Minisyncoccota. The record is from RNAcentral.
CCGCCUAUAGCUCAGUCGGUAGAGCAGCUCCCUUUUAAGGAGACGGUCCCUGGUUCGAGUCCAGGUAGGCGGA